GAUGAACGCUGGCGGCGUGCCUAAUACAUGCAAGUCGAGCGAACAGACGAGGAGCUUGCUCCUCUGACGUUAGCGGCGGACGGGUGAGUAACACGUGGAUAACCUACCUAUAAGACUGGGAUAACUUCGGGAAACCGGAGCUAAUACCGGAUAAUAUAUUGAACCGCAUGGUUCAAUAGUGAAAGACGGUUUUGCUGUCACUUAUAGAUGGAUCCGCGCCGCAUUAGCUAGUUGGUAAGGUAACGGCUUACCAAGGCAACGAUGCGUAGCCGACCUGAGAGGGUGAUCGGCCACACUGGAACUGAGACACGGUCCAGACUCCUACGGGAGGCAGCAGUAGGGAAUCUUCCGCAAUGGGCGAAAGCCUGACGGAGCAACGCCGCGUGAGUGAUGAAGGUCUUCGGAUCGUAAAACUCUGUUAUUAGGGAAGAGCAAAUGUGUAAGUAACUAUGCACGUCUUGACGGUACCUAAGCAGAAAGCCACGGCUAACUACGUG
This 497-nucleotide ribosomal RNA is filed under the name uncultured bacterium. Its description in RNAcentral is "partial 16S ribosomal RNA". It matches the Rfam family "Bacterial small subunit ribosomal RNA", at positions 28 to 507 of the family's 1533-position model. The record is from RNAcentral.